CACCAAGAGAGAACGGCCCCUAUGGUGGA
Molecule: small RNA, 29 nt
Filed under: Bombyx mori (domestic silkworm)
Lineage: Eukaryota; Metazoa; Arthropoda; Insecta; Lepidoptera; Bombycidae
Description: ovarian small RNA-12926
Source: RNAcentral